Penaeus monodon (black tiger shrimp) is the source of this 123-nucleotide small nuclear RNA. RefSeq annotates it as U5 spliceosomal RNA. The transcript has a single exon. The record is from RefSeq and is a predicted model, not a curated record. NCBI's taxonomy places the organism in Eukaryota, Metazoa, Arthropoda, Malacostraca, Decapoda, Penaeidae.
UAACUCGGGUUUCCCUUAAAAACGCAAAAAUUUUUUCCCCUUUUUACUAAAGAUUUCCGUGGGGGGGAACCCACUAAAAUGACCCUUACUAAAUUUUUUUUCAAAACCCCUUCGGGGGGUUCA